This is a long non-coding RNA of Mercenaria mercenaria, 576 nucleotides long. RefSeq lists it as uncharacterized. NCBI's taxonomy places the organism in Eukaryota, Metazoa, Mollusca, Bivalvia, Venerida, Veneridae. The transcript is spliced from 3 exons. The record is from RefSeq and is a predicted model, not a curated record.
ACAGGGUGCAUGUACCACGUGACUUUUUCGCUAAUCUGGGGUGCCAAAAACAUGGCGGAUUCCUCGAUAAAGACAUUUGUGUGCCAGGAAUGCGGAAGGGCUUAUAAUUCCAAAAAAAGCCUUCUGCGCCACGAAAGAGGCCACAGAAAUCUUGGAGCUUACAUGUAUAACUGCGGCGAGCGGUCUUUUCCGGACAACAUUUCUAUGCGAAAAGCUAUUCCAGACUGGCGGCCAUGACAGAUGUGGGUGAGAAAUCAUAAAGAGUGACUGAGUACUUUGAUAUGUAGCAAAGAAGUUCAUUGUUGAUAAUAGUGUUUCUUUAUGAUUUAUUGAAUACGAUCAGAAAUACAGAGCUCUCAAUGCUGUAAACUUUUUGUUGUGAAAUUCGCCGCUGAAUCCAUUUCCAAAAGUGUUCGUUUUACUAUACAGCAAAGAAGGAGAAAUUGUACCGGGCCGACACCACAGAGUGAAAGUUGGUGCAUUUUUCAUUAAAUCAGUCAAAUUAAGCAUUUCACUUUAGGUAAAAUAUGCAGUUUAAAGUCGGUAGAAAGCUUUCAUUUGUCAUGACUAUUUUAA